UACAGAGGGUCCAAGCGUUGAUCGGAAUCACUGGGCUUAAAGGGUGCGUAGGCGGAUAGGCAAGUGCGUUGUGAAAUCCCAUGGCUCAACCAUGGAAUUGCUUCGCAGACUGCCUGUCUUGAACCCGGUAGGGGCCAUCAGAACGCUAGGUGGAGCGGUGAAAUGCGUAGAUAUCUAGCGGAAUGCCAAUGGAGAAGUCAGAUGGCUGGGCCGGCGUUGACGCUCAGGCACGAAAGCGUGGGUAGCGAACGGG
Molecule: unclassified non-coding RNA, 253 nt
Filed under: Phycisphaeraceae bacterium
Lineage: Bacteria; Pseudomonadati; Planctomycetota; Phycisphaerae; Phycisphaerales; Phycisphaeraceae
Also listed under: 1 other name
Description: partial 16S ribosomal RNA
Rfam family: Bacterial small subunit ribosomal RNA
Source: RNAcentral